This 281-nucleotide ribosomal RNA is filed under the name Coprococcus eutactus. RNAcentral's name for it is "partial 16S ribosomal RNA". It matches the Rfam family "Bacterial small subunit ribosomal RNA", at positions 524 to 805 of the family's 1533-position model. Lineage: Bacteria; Bacillati; Bacillota; Clostridia; Lachnospirales; Lachnospiraceae. The record is from RNAcentral.
UACGUAUGGUGCAAGCGUUAUCCGGAUUUACUGGGUGUAAAGGGUGCGUAGGUGGUGAGACAAGUCUGAAGUGAAAAUCCGGGGCUUAACCCCGGAACUGCUUUGGAAACUGCCUGACUAGAGUACAGGAGAGGUAAGUGGAAUUCCUAGUGUAGCGGUGAAAUGCGUAGAUAUUAGGAGGAACACCAGUGGCGAAGGCGACUUACUGGACUGCUACUGACACUGAGGCACGAAAGCGUGGGGAGCAAACAGGAUUAGAUACCCUGGCCGGCUGACUGACU